GAUCAUGGCUCAGAUUGAACGCUGGCGGCAGGCCUAACACAUGCAAGUCGAACGGUAACAGAAAGAAGCUUGCUUCUUUGCUGACGAGUGGCGGACGGGUGAGUAAUGUCUGGGAAACUGCCUGAUGGAGGGGGGAUAACUACUGGAAACGGUAGCUAAUACCGCAUAACGUCGCAAGACCAAAGAGGGGGACCUUCGGGCCGUCUUGCCACUCGGAUGUGCCCACGAUGGGAGUUAGCUUGUUUGGG
Molecule: ribosomal RNA, 248 nt
Filed under: uncultured bacterium
Lineage: Bacteria
Description: partial 16S ribosomal RNA
Rfam family: Bacterial small subunit ribosomal RNA
Source: RNAcentral